AAAUUUCUAUUCAAUGAAAAAUUGAAUAGAAAUUUUCUUAUAGGAAUCAUAGACAGAUAAGAUAGCAGAUUAGAUAUCUGUGUAAAAUUUUAUGUUCUAGGGUUUACAUAUACUCAUAAUUGUUGUUAUAAUUGAAAUUGAGAAGAAUUUUUUUAUUGAAAAGAAUCAAUACUGAUCGGUUAUGUAUCAAUUUUAUUAUAUAAUUAGGAUUAGGGAAAUACUAUUUUAGAUUCAAAUCCAAGAAUUGUUCAUGAAUUCACAGUCAAGUCAAUAGUUAAUGGUUCCAAUUUGUCCUUAAUUUUGGCUUUUGUGGCUGAAAAUUCAUUUUUCAUUUCAAUAGACAAUAGAAAGGGGAAAGAAUUUAGAAUUUAGAUAGUGUAUGUUUUGAGAUACUAUAAAAAAAAUUAAUCGAAAAAAUAGAUCCAAUCGGAAGGAUUUCUUUUUAGGAAAGGGAUUAAUAAAAAUGGAAUUCAAGAUGCAAGUACAAAAAAAAAAGAGGGGGGAUAUUUUCGUCUAUUUUGUGUUGCCUUGGCGGCAUGGCCGAGUGGUAAGGCGGGGGACUGCAAAUCCUUUUUCCCCAGUUCAAAUCCGGGUGUCGCCUGAUCAACAAAAGGUGCAAAAUGCUUUAUUCCCUUUUGCUGAUAUAACUUGUCGAACUUUCCCCCAACAGAAGCACGCGAAGGAAAGGACAUCUUGAUACUUCCUUGAUUCUAAACAUCGGAAAAUUCUGUUCUCUAAAGUGCUGUAAAUUCUUGCAUCUAGGAUUCGGGGAAAGUUUAUAGUGGUGAAAGGGAAUCGGUAAAUCUUGAUAUAAUAGUCCUUCCACUACUAAGGUCUUUUGUAUACAAACUCAUGAGAAUUCCUGAGUACUCAGGAAUUCUCAUGAGUUUGUAUACAAAAGACCUUAGUAGUGGAAGGACUAUUAUAUCAAGAUUUACCGAUUCCCUUUCACCACUAUAAACUUUCCCCGAAUCCUAGAUGCAAGAAUUUACAGCACUUUAGAGAACAGAAUUUUCCGAUGUUUAGAAUCAAGGAAGUAUCAAGAUGUCCUUUCCUUCGCGUGCUUCUGUUGGGGGAAAGUUCGACAAGUUAUAUCAGCAAAAGGGAAUAAAGCAUUUUGCACCUUUUGUUGAUCAGGCGACACCCGGAUUUGAACUGGGGAAAAAGGAUUUGCAGUCCCCCGCCUUACCACUCGGCCAUGCCGCCAAGGCAACACAAAAUAGACGAAAAUAUCCCCCCUCUUUUUUUUUGUACUUGCAUCUUGAAUUCCAUUUUUAUUAAUCCCUUUCCUAAAAAGAAAUCCUUCCGAUUGGAUCUAUUUUUUCGAUUAAUUUUUUUUAUAGUAUCUCAAAACAUACACUAUCUAAAUUCUAAAUUCUUUCCCCUUUCUAUUGUCUAUUGAAAUGAAAAAUGAAUUUUCAGCCACAAAAGCCAAAAUUAAGGACAAAUUGGAACCAUUAACUAUUGACUUGACUGUGAAUUCAUGAACAAUUCUUGGAUUUGAAUCUAAAAUAGUAUUUCCCUAAUCCUAAUUAUAUAAUAAAAUUGAUACAUAACCGAUCAGUAUUGAUUCUUUUCAAUAAAAAAAUUCUUCUCAAUUUCAAUUAUAACAACAAUUAUGAGUAUAUGUAAACCCUAGAACAUAAAAUUUUACACAGAUAUCUAAUCUGCUAUCUUAUCUGUCUAUGAUUCCUAUAAGAAAAUUUCUAUUCAAUUUUUCAUUGAAUAGAAAUUU
RNAcentral lists this transfer RNA (1735 nucleotides) under Hevea brasiliensis (rubber tree). The stretch from base 531 to 601 matches the Rfam family "tRNA". The record is from RNAcentral. Lineage: Eukaryota; Viridiplantae; Streptophyta; Magnoliopsida; Malpighiales; Euphorbiaceae.